UGUGGUGUGCUGUGGGUCAUUAACUUGCUGUAAGAUGAACCUCUGUAUUUUGCUCAGUUCACACAUCCCUCUAUCCUGACCUGUCUCUUCACAGUCUGUUAAACAUCCCCUUGAUACACCCACCACCAUGCUUCUCCGUAGUGAUGGUAUUAGCCAGGUGAUGAACAGUAUUUUGUUUUUACCAGAUGAAACUCUUAAGAUGGUUGUUGUUCUGGCAUGUUUUCUCAUCCUUGCAGAUACAUUCUGUUAGUGUGGCCUUUGGGUUCUGGGAGACUUGCAAUGACCAAGGCCCUUCUUGCCUGGUUACUUGGCCCGAUGGCCAGCUCUAAGAAGAGUCUUAGUGGUUCCUAAGUUCUUUCAUUUCACAAUGAUGGAGUCCACUGUUCUCCUGGGAACAUUCAAUGCUUAAGCAAUUUUUUAUAACCUUCACUAGAAAUAUCUAUCUACCUAAUCUAUCUAUCUGUCUUUUACAGCUUGGCUUGUCACCGCAAAUCCAGAUCAGGUAAAAUACACCUGUAUCUGGGAGGUCCAACAGUCCAACAAUUCCUAACCAAAACUAAAUCAUGAAGAUGAAGGAACAUUCAAAGCAAAUCUGGAAUAAGGUCCUCGAAAAGCACCAUUUUGAGAGCCCAACUUUGACAUAAAGAGUUGCUAGAAUGCAACAUGACAAGGUAGUACCAUCUGAUUACCUACCUGCCUUCCCGGCUAGUUUGCACCACUCUCUGCUGGACCCCAGAAAUUGUCGGUAUGAACCAAUCAGGAUGUGAACCACUGGCCACCGUGAGGCAGUUGUACUGCAAAGCAGCAUCUUAGAUGUUGCGGUCCAUAUG
Long non-coding RNA from Esox lucius (northern pike), 830 nucleotides. RefSeq lists it as uncharacterized. NCBI's taxonomy places the organism in Eukaryota, Metazoa, Chordata, Actinopteri, Esociformes, Esocidae. The record is from RefSeq and is a predicted model, not a curated record. The transcript is spliced from 3 exons.